GAUGAAGAACGCAGCAAAAUGCGAUAAGUAAUGUGAAUUGCAGAAUACAGUGAAUCAUCGAAUCUUUGAACGCACAUUGCGCCCGCCAGUAUUCUGGCGGGCAUGCCUGUUCGAGCGUCAUUUCAACCCUCAAGCACAGCUUGGUGUUGGGACUCGCGUUAAUUCGCGUUCCUCAAAUUGAUUGGCGGUCACGUCGAGCUUCCAUAGCGUAGUAGUAAAACCCUCGUUACUGGUAAUCGUCGCGGCCACGCCGUUAAACCCCAACUUCUGAAUGUUGACCUCGGAUCAGGUAGGAAUACCCGCUGAACUUAAGCAUAUCAAUAAGCGGAGGA
Molecule: unclassified non-coding RNA, 332 nt
Filed under: soil metagenome
Description: partial contains 5.8S ribosomal RNA, internal transcribed spacer 2, and large subunit ribosomal RNA
Rfam family: 5.8S ribosomal RNA (bases 1-120)
Source: RNAcentral